GACGAACGCUGGCGGCGUGCUUAACACAUGCAAGUCGAACGAAGAGCGACGGAAGCUUGCUUCUAUCAAUCUUAGUGGCGAACGGGUGAGUAACGCGUAAUCAACCUGCCCUUCAGAGGGGGACAACAGUUGGAAACGACUGCUAAUACCGCAUACGAUCUAAUCUCGGCAUCGAGGAUGGAUGAAAGGUGGCCUCUACAUGUAAGCUAUCACUGAAGGAGGGGAUUGCGUCUGAUUAGCUAGUUGGAGGGGUAACGGCCCACCAAGGCGAUGAUCAGUAGCCGGUCUGAGAGGAUGAACGGCCACAUUGGGACUGAGACACGGCCCAGACUCCUACGGGAGGCAGCAGUGGGGAAUCUUCCGCAAUGGACGAAAGUCUGACGGAGCAACGCCGCGUGAGUGAUGACGGCCUUCGGGUUGUAAAGCUCUGUUAAUCGGGACGAAAGGCCUUCUUGCGAAUAGUGAGAAGGAUUGACGGUACCGGAAUAGAAAGCCACGGCUAACUACGUGCCAGCAGCCGCGGUAAUACGUAGGUGGCAAGCGUUGUCCGGAAUUAUUGGGCGUAAAGCGCGCGCAGGCGGAUAGGUCAGUCUGUCUUAAAAGUUCGGGGCUUAACCCCGUGAU
RNAcentral lists this ribosomal RNA (624 nucleotides) under uncultured bacterium. RNAcentral's name for it is "bacterial SSU rRNA". It matches the Rfam family "Bacterial small subunit ribosomal RNA", at positions 28 to 621 of the family's 1533-position model. The record is from RNAcentral.